RNAcentral lists this ribosomal RNA (253 nucleotides) under uncultured bacterium. RNAcentral's name for it is "partial 16S ribosomal RNA". It matches the Rfam family "Bacterial small subunit ribosomal RNA", at positions 524 to 776 of the family's 1533-position model. The record is from RNAcentral.
UACAGAGGGGGCAAGCGUUGUUCGGAGUUACUGGGCGUAAAGGGCGCGUAGGCGGCCUUCUAAGUCGAACGUGAAAUCCCCGGGCUCAACCCGGGAACUGCGUCCGAGACUGGAAGGCUUGAAUCCGGGAGAGGGAUGUGGAAUUCCAGGUGUAGCGGUGAAAUGCGUAGAUAUCUGGAGGAACAUCGGUGGCGAAGGCGGCAUCCUGGACCGGUAUUGACGCUGAGGCGCGAAAGCCAGGGGAGCAAACGGG